ACGAACGCUGGCGGCGUGCUUAACACAUGCAAGUCGAACGGAAAGGCCCUGCUUUUGUGGGGUGCUCGAGUGGCGAACGGGUGAGUAACACGUGAGUAACCUGCCCUUGACUUUGGGAUAACUUCAGGAAACUGGGGCUAAUACCGGAUAGGAGCUCCUGCUGCAUGGCGGGGGUUGGAAAGAUUCGGCGGUUGGGGAUGGACUCGCGGCUUAUCAGCUUGUUGGUGGGGUAGUGGCUUACCAAGGCUUUGACGGGUAGCCGGCCUGAGAGGGUGACCGGCCACAUUGGGACUGAGAUACGGCCCAGACUCCUACGGGAGGCAGCAGUGGGGAAUAUUGCACAAUGGGCGGAAGCCUGAUGCAGCAACGCCGCGUGCGGGAUGACGGCCUUCGGGUUGUAAACCGCUUUCGCCUGUGACGAAGCGUGAGUGACGGUAAUGGGUAAAGAAGCACCGGCUAACUACGUG
Molecule: ribosomal RNA, 467 nt
Filed under: uncultured bacterium
Lineage: Bacteria
Description: partial 16S ribosomal RNA
Rfam family: Bacterial small subunit ribosomal RNA
Source: RNAcentral